RNAcentral lists this ribosomal RNA (468 nucleotides) under uncultured bacterium. Its description in RNAcentral is "partial 16S ribosomal RNA". It matches the Rfam family "Bacterial small subunit ribosomal RNA", at positions 28 to 507 of the family's 1533-position model. The record is from RNAcentral.
GACGAACGCUGGCGGCGUGCUUAACACAUGCAAGUCGAACGGAAAGGCCCUGCUUUUGUGGGGUGCUCGAGUGGCGAACGGGUGAGUAACACGUGAGUAACCUGCCCUUGACUUUGGGAUAACUUCAGGAAACUGGGGCUAAUACCGGAUAGGAGCUCCUGCUGCAUGGUGGGGGUUGGAAAGUUUCGGCGGUUGGGGAUGGACUCGCGGCUUAUCAGCUUGUUGGUGGGGUAGUGGCUUACCAAGGCUUUGACGGGUAGCCGGCCUGAGAGGGUGACCGGCCACAUUGGGACUGAGAUACGGACCAGACUGCUACGGGAGGCAGCAGUGGGGAAUAUUGCACAAUGGGCGGAAGCCUGAUGCAGCAACGCAGCGUGCGGGAUGACGGCCUUCGGGUUGUAAACCGCUUUCGCCUGUGACGAAGCGUGAGUGACGGUAAUGGGUAAAGAAGCACCGGCUAACUACGUG